Molecule: ribosomal RNA, 484 nt
Filed under: uncultured bacterium
Lineage: Bacteria
Description: partial 16S ribosomal RNA
Rfam family: Bacterial small subunit ribosomal RNA
Source: RNAcentral
AUUGAACGCUGGCGGCAGGCCUAACACAUGCAAGUCGAGCGGAUGAAGGGAGCUUGCUCCUGGAUUCAGCGGCGGACGGGUGAGUAAUGCCUAGGAAUCUGCCUGGUAGUGGGGGAUAACGUCCGGAAACGGGCGCUAAUACCGCAUACGUCCUGAGGGAGAAAGUGGGGGAUCUUCGGACCUCACGCUAUCAGAUGAGCCUAGGUCGGAUUAGCUAGUUGGUGGGGUAACGGCCUACCAAGGCGACGAUCCGUAACUGGUCUGAGAGGAUGAUCAGUCACACUGGAACUGAGACACGGUCCAGACUCCUACGGGAGGCAGCAGUGGGGAAUAUUGGACAAUGGGCGAAGGCCUGAUCCAGCCAUGCCGCGUGUGUGAAGAAGGUCUUCGGAUUGUAAAGCACUUUAAGUUGGGAGGAAGGGCAGUAAGUUAAUACCUUGCUGUUUUGACGUUACCAACAGAAUAAGCACCGGCUAACUUCGUG